RNAcentral lists this ribosomal RNA (400 nucleotides) under uncultured bacterium. Its description in RNAcentral is "bacterial SSU rRNA". It matches the Rfam family "Bacterial small subunit ribosomal RNA", at positions 355 to 747 of the family's 1533-position model. The record is from RNAcentral.
UGGGGAAUUUUGGACAAUGGGGGCAACCCUGAUCCAGCCAUGCCGCGUGCGGGAAGAAGGCCUUCGGGUUGUAAACCGCUUUUGUCAGGGACGAAAAGGCUAAGGUUAAGAGCCGUAGCCGAUGACGGUACCUGAAGAAUAAGCACCGGCUAACUACGUGCCAGCAGCCGCGGUAAUACGUAGGGUGCAAGCGUUAAUCGGAAUUACUGGGCGUAAAGCGUGCGCAGGCGGUUGGGUAAGACAGAUGUGAAAUCCCCGGGCUUAACCUGGGAACUGCAUUUGUGACUGUCCGACUCGAGUAUGUCAGAGGGGGGUGGAAUUCCAAGUGUAGCAGUGAAAUGCGUAGAUAUUUGGAAGAACACCGAUGGCGAAGGCAGCCCCCUGGGGCAAAACUGACGCU